Molecule: unclassified non-coding RNA, 391 nt
Filed under: soil metagenome
Description: partial contains 5.8S ribosomal RNA, internal transcribed spacer 2, and large subunit ribosomal RNA
Rfam family: 5.8S ribosomal RNA (bases 1-122)
Source: RNAcentral
GAUGAAGAACGUAGCGAAAUGCGAUACUUGGUGUGAAUUGCAGAAUCCCGUGAACCAUCGAGUCUUUGAACGCAAGUUGCGCCCGAAGCCAUUAGGCCGAGGGCACGCCUGCCUGGGUGUCACACGUCGUUGCCCCCCCAUCUACUCCUUCGGGAUUGCGGGGGGCGGAUGAUGGCCUCCCGUGCGCCUCGUCGCGCGGUUGGCAUAAAUGCCAAGUCCUCGGCGACGCACGCCACGACAAUCGGUGGUUGCGAAACCUCGGUUGCCCGUCGUGUGCGGUCGUCGCGCAUCGAGGGCUCGAAAAAAUUGCCGGGCUUCGGCUCGGCUUUCAACGCGACCCCAGGUCAGGCGGGGUUACCCGCUGAAUUUAAGCAUAUCAAUAAGCGGAGGA